RNAcentral lists this ribosomal RNA (1386 nucleotides) under uncultured bacterium. RNAcentral describes it as "16S ribosomal RNA". It matches the Rfam family "Bacterial small subunit ribosomal RNA". The record is from RNAcentral.
UUCGCCCUUAGAGUUUGAUCCUGGCUCAGGACGAACGCUGGCGGCGCGCCUAACACAUGCAAGUCGAACGGAGCUUAGAGAGCUUGCUUUUUAAGCUUAGUGGCGAACGGGUGAGUAACGCGUGAGUAACCUGCCCUAGAGUGGGGGACAACAGUUGGAAACGACUGCUAAUACCGCAUAAGCCCACGGUACCGCAUGGUACUGAGGGAAAAGGAUUUAUUCGCUUUAGGAUGGACUCGCGUCCAAUUAGCUAGUUGGUGAGGUAACGGCCCACCAAGGCGACGAUUGGUAGCCGGACUGAGAGGUUGAACGGCCACAUUGGGACUGAGACACGGCCCAGACUCCUACGGGAGGCAGCAGUGGGGGAUAUUGCACAAUGGGGGAAACCCUGAUGCAGCGACGCCGCGUGGAGGAAGAAGGUUUUCGGAUUGUAAACUCCUGUCGUUAGGGACGAUAAUGACGGUACCUAACAAGAAAGCACCGGCUAACUACGUGCCAGCAGCCGCGGUAAAACGUAGGGUGCAAGCGUUGUCCGGAAUUACUGGGUGUAAAGGGAGCGCAGGCGGGAAGACAAGUUGGAAGUGAAAACCAUGGGCUCAACCCAUGAAUUGCUUUCAAAACUGUUUUUCUUGAGUAGUGCAGAGGUAGAUGGAAUUCCCGGUGUAGCGGUGGAAUGCGUAGAUAUCGGGAGGAACACCAGUGGCGAAGGCGGUCCACUGGGCACCAACUGACGCUGAGGCUCGAAAGCAUGGGUAGCAAACAGGAUUAGAUACCCUGGUAGUCCAUGCCGUAAACGAUGAUUACUAGGUGUGGGGGGAUUGACCCCCAUCAGAUGCCGCAGUUAAACACAAUAAGUAAUCCACCUGGGGAGUACGACCGCAAGGUUGAAACUCAAAAGGAAUUGACGGGGGCCCGCACAAGCAGUGGAGUAUGUGGUUUAAUUAGAAGCAACGCGAAGAACCUUUACCAGGUCUUGACAUCCGAUGCAUAGCACAGAGAUGUGUGAAAUCCUUCGGGACAUCGAGACAGGUGGUGCAUGGUUGUCGUCAGCUCGUGUCGUGAGAUGUUGGGUUAAGUCCCGCAACGAGCGCAACCCUUAUUGCCAGUUACUACGUUAAGAGGACUCUGGCGAGACUGCCGUUGACAAAACGGAGGAAGGUGGGGAUGACGUCAAAUCAUCAUGCCCUUUAUGACCUGGGCUACACACGUACUACAAUGGCGUUAAACAAAGAGAAGCAAGACCGCGAGGUGGAGCAAAACUCAAAAACAACGUCUCAGUUCAGAUUGCAGGCUGCAACUCGCCUGCAUGAAGUCGGAAUUGCUAGUAAUCGCGGAUCAGCAUGCCGCGGUGAAUACGUUCCCGGGCCUUGCACACACCGCCCGUCA